AAGACCCUAUCAAACUUUACUUUAGUUUAACUGGGGCAGUUAAUUAAUAAAAACUUUAAUAAAGAUUAAGUACUAAAUAGANNNCCCAACANUAGUUGAUUACANUGAACAAGUUACUGUAGGGAUAACAGCGUAAUAUAUAUCUAAAGUUCUUAUUUUGAUAUAAGUUUGCGACCUCGAUGUUGAAUUNAUAUUACUUUCAAGCGCAAGAGCCUGAAAAGUGGGUCUGUUCGACCCCUAAAUAUAUACAUGAUUUGAGUUCAAAUCGGUGUAAACCAGAUUGGUUUCUAUCUAUUNUUAUUUGUGUCUUAGUACGAAAGGACCUGAAACAAUAUUAUAUAAUNAUUUAUAUGGCAGAAAAAUGCUUUAGAUUUAGGAUCUAAUUAUAAUAGAUUAUUAUACUCUAUUUAACUUGUCUAAUCUCUGUUAUUAGAAUCCUUAUCGCAGUAGCUUUUUAUACCCUCCUAGAGCGAAAAAUUCUAAGCUACAUCC
Molecule: ribosomal RNA, 492 nt
Filed under: Sancus acoreensis
Lineage: Eukaryota; Metazoa; Arthropoda; Arachnida; Araneae; Tetragnathidae
Description: partial 16S ribosomal RNA
Rfam family: Bacterial large subunit ribosomal RNA (bases 1-292)
Source: RNAcentral